CAGUGUCUUUAUCCUCACAAUGCCAUUCUGACAUAUGUACUAUUAUUUUUCUUGGAUGACAGAAAAAGUUCCCAGAUUUGAAGUCAAUUCCCCAAGAGCACACAGGAGCCAAGGGAUGGAGCUGCAACUGAAGCCCAGAUAAUCGGACUCUAGGGAAUGCUGUAUUAUCCAUCAUCUAAACUACUUUCUACUUGAACGGAUCAUUGGGAGGGAUGAUUUAUGAUGUAGCUCAAGGCAGAAUUACAUAGAGCACCUAUAUUAGAGCAGAAAUAUAAAUUCAAUGAUGUAUUAAUCAGAGAAUGGAUCUUGAAGGUAUUUUUAAAAGGCAAAGAUGAGAUAAUAGUUCUUAUGAAGCUAGUGUAUGCUUGGAAAUAUUAAUUUAUCAUUAGAGCACAUAGCCUAGCUUUGUGAUCAGUUAAUUAACGAAAAGAUCAACAAAGAAAAGCCAGUAGCCCUUGAAAUAGCACCAUAUUAACAGUGGCAAGGUAAAGUUCUCAUUUUUCAUAGGGACACGCUAGAAUAAGGCAAUGAUAACCAGCAGCCAACACCCUCUACCUCCCAAAGGUGACCAAGCUAUGCUACAAAACAUAUUCAUUUGAAUACAAACCCAGAAGAUAGCUUAAAGUAAAAUUAAGUUUCAUAAAUUGGGCACUGAUGCAAUGUUCAUUCCUUGUUGUACCCUAAAGUCUCAAAAAAGGGGGUGACAGGCGUGUGGUGUGUGACCAUGGAAAAGCCAAGGGAGAAGAUAUUCUUAGUGAUGAGGAUGCAUGAUGCUGAUGAAUGCACUUUAUUUUCUUGCCCCAAGUCCAGUGGUCCCUCUGUCACAGCCCACUUGAGUCACUGCCCCGUGUUGGAGGGACAGAUGGGAAUCGCAGUAGAAUGAAAGCUCAUGCAAGUAGAGGUCUGAAUCGUGACUCAGCACUUCAGAGGGAAAAUGAAAUACCCAAGCUGACCUAUGACAAGAUCAGAAGAGAGAUCUCUUCAGUGCCCUGGAAACUCACAAUGGUUGAAUGAGGUGUGUGGGUGUCACUCGUGCUUCUCCCUCGGCGCUCGUCUCGGGGCAUAGGCUUCAGGUCGACCCUUCCACCCUGGGGGAACACACAUCACCUUUCCAGAGAG
RNAcentral lists this long non-coding RNA (1119 nucleotides) under Chinchilla lanigera (long-tailed chinchilla). Its description in RNAcentral is "lncRNA (ENSCLAG00000027748.1)". Lineage: Eukaryota; Metazoa; Chordata; Mammalia; Rodentia; Chinchillidae. The record is from RNAcentral.